Molecule: long non-coding RNA, 1186 nt
Organism: Dama dama (fallow deer)
Lineage: Eukaryota; Metazoa; Chordata; Mammalia; Artiodactyla; Cervidae
Exons: 4
Source: RefSeq, a predicted model, not a curated record
GGUAGAUAGAAUUGAAUUUAGCAAGGAACCAGAACUUGUGCCUUCAGCAUCAGGGCGUGAGUGAAGUUGCAGCUUGCCCUCCAUCUCUUCUCCAUCUCUCAUGUCCUCUCCCUCCUGGAGUCAGUAACUCUUCUUGCCUGUUUGCUUGAUGACAGCCCCUGGAUGCCAGCUAUUGUACUGAACUACUGCACUCCUCAAGAACAUAAUUAUAGAAGAUGAGAAUCUGCUCAGUUUUAACUCUGUCCUACACAGUGUUUAAAUAACCUUGGAUGGGAAAAGCUUGUCUAAACAUGAAUCUAUGAAAGCAACCAUGAAAGAAACGGACAGUUUCAAGGAAGGAAAAUAAAAACAAACACACAAAUUCACAAAGAAGUAUUCUGUAAAAAAACCACAAUAAGCAAGCUUGAUGGUAGAAAAAAAUAUGACCAACUCUCUGAAGGAUGUUUUAACUGCUUAGAUCACAAAAGCUUGGAGUUUUUCAUAUUUUUUGACAGAUUCCAAGUGAAUCAUUCUAGGGAAAUGGACAAUGUAAAGGUACAUAUGACAGACUGUUAACAGCAAAUCUUCAGUGAAAACAAAAAAAGGAUGAGAUGAUGGACAAAGCUGUAAUGGAAAAUGAAAUAACCAUCAAAAGGAUGUUAUAGAGAAAUAUUACAUAUGUACAAGAAUUGAUGCUUUUGAACUGUGGUGUUGGAGAAGACCCUUGAGAAUUCUUUGGACUGAAGGGAGACCAAACUAGUCAAUCCUAAAGGAAAUCAACCUUGAAUAUUCACUGGAAGGACUGAUGUUUAAGCUGAAGCUUCAAUACUUUUGCCACCUGAUGUGAAGAGCCAACUCAUUGGCAAAGACUCUGAUGGUGGGGAAGAUUGAAAGCAAAAGGAGAAGGGGUGGCAGAGAAUGAGGUGGUUAGAUAGCAUCACUGACUCAAUGCACAUGGAUUUGAGCAAGCUCCAGGAGAUAGUGAAGACACAGGAGUCUGACGUGCUGCAGUCCAUGAGGUUGCCAAGAGUCAGACAUGACUUAGCGACUGCACAACAACAACAAAAUUUACCUCCACAUUGUGGGAUAAUAUGUAUUAUUUUUCUUUUGACUUACCUGUGUUUCCUGAAUAUUUAACAACAAACAUGUUUUUUUUGAAAUUAAACAAUGUGAAAUAACUGUAUUGUUUUUUUCACAAGUAGUUAUA